Molecule: ribosomal RNA, 253 nt
Filed under: uncultured bacterium
Lineage: Bacteria
Description: partial 16S ribosomal RNA
Rfam family: Bacterial small subunit ribosomal RNA
Source: RNAcentral
UACGUAGGGUGCGAGCGUUAAUCGGAAUGACUGGGCGUAAAGGGUGCGCAGGUGGCUAUGUAAGAUAUAGGUGAAAUCCCCGGGCUUAACCUGGGAAUGGCCUGUGUGACUGCAUAGCUAGAGUGUGUCAGAGGGAGGUAGAAUUCCACGUGUAGCAGUGAAAUGCGUAGAGAUGUGGAGGAAUACCAAUGGCGAAGGCAGCCUCCUGGGAUAACACUGACGCUCAGGCACGAAAGCGUGGGGAGCAAACAGG